Molecule: long non-coding RNA, 3388 nt
Organism: Eucalyptus grandis
Lineage: Eukaryota; Viridiplantae; Streptophyta; Magnoliopsida; Myrtales; Myrtaceae
Exons: 5
Source: RefSeq, a predicted model, not a curated record
CCUUGUUCCCUCCCCUCUUGCGUCACCUGCCUUAUCCGAACAACACAGCUGUUUCUUCCUCCCAUUUCCCGUUCCCGCACGUCUCUAAUUUUUCGCCAUUUCUUCUCUGCCAGGCAACCGAACCUCUCUCCCUCAAAGCUUCUGCCCAUUUCACUACAGCUUAACCUCCUUUCACUUUCUCUCGAUGCAGCUCCUCCCUUUGAGCCCUGCAGUCCCACCGAUCCUCUACCACCAACUCUUGUCGCCACACGUCCUCCACCAUCUUUUGUCUCCGCCAGUCAACCCUCCCAGCAGUGAAGCCCUGUCGUUGACGGAGGUAGCCCACGAUCUCCACUCACCAAGCAGCAUUCAUCAUCCCACUUCUCUAUCUCAAGCUGCCACACUCCCGAAACUAGCCCCACGAUCCCAGGCGUUGAAGUCGACCCCACCAACAACCGACUCCUUUUUCUCUCUCUCGCUGCAACGCUAGCUCCACCCACUUUCCCCCAUCUUCGCUUCAUGGAUCUCAGCCCAGCAGCAGCACUUGCUGCCUCCCACCGAGUCAACAAACCAACGAAGCUCCCCCUUCACGUUGACGAAAGGAGCCCCUUCCUAUUUCCCAUUCGAUCAGCAGUCUCGAGAACCGCAUCACCGCUCCAUCUCCCUGCUGCUACCACGAAGACACCAACCAGCUCACCGAUUUGCUUCAGCCGAGUAGUUGACCCGCCAGCCCCAUUUCAUCAUUUGCCCAAGUAGCGAAGCCCCGCCUGAAGUUGCUCCUUCGCCAUUGCUCCUUACGCCAUCAACGGCCCAGCCCAUCUUCAGCAACUACAGCCUAGUCAAGCCGAGCCCAGCAACCCGCUCAUCUCAGCCCCAAGUCCAUAACUGAGCCGAGCAAUUCGUUGUGGGCUUGCAAGGCUUUUUCGGCCCGAUCCAAGCUCCCAUUGGCAUCAUCGUAGGCUCGAGUUUCAACCGCCAUUGCGCCGUCAUCGCAGUGAACCGGUUUUCACGCUAAACCGGUCCUUAAAUAGGGGUUGGUGGAGGACCCGAAGCCCGGAGUCUGUGGAGGUGGAGUUUGAAGGAUCGGCGUGUGUGUCCGACUAGUUUGUCGUAGGACAGCUUCUUUUUUAGAGCCGAUAUUUUGUAAACUUUUGCCCAUACUCUUUUAUACCUAAACCUCGUUGUUUAUAUAAAAUUGGCUUUUGUGAAAUGUUACCUUACUUUUCUAUCCCAUGAUGUUUGCUAUCAGGGGUUUAUUGUUUCGCUUCCGCAUAUGCUUAAACGAACUAGGUCAGCGACGCAUUCUGGGAACAUCGCAUUUGUAUCGACCACCAAGGGAUGGGCGCGCACUCAAGGAUCGGGGCGUGACACAAUCUAGAGCAAAGAUGGCUGAGCAAACUGGGAUGUGAGGUCAUGUUGCUAUAUUGAGGAUCAGUGAAGCAAUUCUUUACUGCACUCCAACAUAUGUCAUCCCAGAUUGAAUCCCUUCGAUGAAGCCCAUUCCUGCAUCCACUCGACCCCAAACUGAGGUUGCGUUGCCAAGACACACAAGCGAUAAGAGCAAAAAAGCCAUCAAUGACAACAUGCAAGCAUUGUUUCAAGACCCUCCUCAAGCCACUGACAAGAAAGCCAAGUCUGCUAAUGUGCCAAAAAUCGAGCAUGAUAAGCGCUUUGCAAAGCUCAAGGGAAAAAUGAGGAACGAAUAAUAAAGAGUUACCCCUCAAAGCUAAUGCUCACAAUGCUACAAUGUUUCAUGAGCUCAAUCCGAUCCUUUGUCAUUGCCAUUCCUUUUGGUGAGAGAUCCUCAGUGGAAACUGGGUUAGAACGCCGGCCUCCUCGCCGUGGCUUAUUGUGGAAUAGUGGUAACUAGGCUAUCAUACUAUCUACAGUCCUGGGUCAUUGAGAUUAGGGGGCCAGUUUUCCUAGCCAUGUCCACACCGCUGGCUCCCAUGAUCACGAUUCUCUUUUCUGCAUUCGUUCUACUUGAGACCCUCACUUUUGAAAGUAUUCUUGGUGGGGUUUUGCUAGUUGGAGGGCUGUACAGUGUUUUGUGGGGGAAACCCAGGGAGCAAAUGCUGGACAGAGGAAGUUGCAAGCCUCCUGAGGUUCACCCAGAAAUCACCAGACAUACUUGUCUGAAUAUCCCAUUUUGGGACAGAAAAGGUUCCUAAUUAGGCAGAGAUUAUAGUUAAGGUAGCCUGAUUUAUUGCAAUAAAAAUAUAUAGUUGAGAUUCACAGUUUUGUAAAAUUUCUGUUAUUAUGGUGUUCCAAGGGAUCGAAGUGGAAAAAUCAGUCAAUUUUUAGUGAAAAAAGUAAUGCUACAACCCUUGAAAACUUUCACUUCAAUGACUUGAGAAUUGGUGGAACUACAACCAACUAUUCUAAAAUUUUAAGCUAUAAGAUUAAAGCGUGAUUUAUUAUUUAAAUAUUCUAAAAAUGAAAUCCAAGCAAAAGGUAAGCAAGAACUGAAAAGGGAAAUAUUUAAAGUAAACCAAAAUUAUAAGUUCUUAUCACAAACUGCAAUCGAUGUGAAGAAUCAGAGCAUGUGUUGUCGUCGAAAACUACUCCUUAUAAACUCAAACCGUAACUAUGUAACUGCCCUACAUUAUUUCCUCGAUCUCACUGGCUUUUUCCUUGAUUUCCGCCCAUCUUCUUUGACUUUUGGACGAGUUUUUUGUUGUCGCCACAUCUAUUUUCUGUGUUUUAUCAGACUCUUCUUGAGCAGCAUCUCCAGCAGCAGAAGCAAGAUGCUGCUCAACUAUGACUUUUGAUUUUCCGCUUUGUUUUGGUUCACCCGCUAAAUUGUUGUUUGGAAUAUCUCCUUCAUGUUUCACUUGUUUCGCCAGCUUUAGUCAGAUGCCUUGUCUAUUAUAGCCGAUUUCUUGCCCUCCUGAUUUUGAACAGCACAUAAUUAUGAUUUUUAGACAUUGCAGACACGUAAUCUGGCUUGCCAAGCAACUAUAUCCCACCUGGUGGGCUUUUUGUGGAAUCCAUUCAUGAUUGUGAUUAAUGUCCCAAAUAUUAGGCCUUUUUUUCAGUCUUCUUGGUGGCAUUUUGCUAGUUGGAGAGCCGUAUAGUGCUUUGUCGGAGAAAAGCAGGGAACAAAGGCUGGAUCAGGGAAGUUGCGAGCCACCGGAGGUUGACCAAGACUUCUCACAAGUCAAACAAGAGAAGGUUUCUCAUAUAUCAGCAGACAUAGUUGUCUGAAUCUCUCCCUCUCUCUGAGGAAAAAGGUUCCCAAUUAGGCAGAGAUUGCAGUUAAGGUAGUCUAAUCAAUUGCAAUAGAAAUAUAUACUUGAAAUUCAGAGUUGUGAGGAAAGGGUGCCCUCCCCUCUCUGGCUUUGUCCUUGAUUGUUGUAUAUUUGAAUUAUAUAGUGUAUUGAAGCGCGUGGGCAUUGCUGCUUUUGUC